Gastrolobium bilobum is the source of this 932-nucleotide long non-coding RNA. RefSeq lists it as uncharacterized. The record is from RefSeq and is a predicted model, not a curated record. Lineage: Eukaryota; Viridiplantae; Streptophyta; Magnoliopsida; Fabales; Fabaceae. The transcript is spliced from 3 exons.
CAGUUCGCCUUUUUGAAAUCUCUUUGGUUCGUCUUCGUUUACGCUUUCGGAAAAACGCAAUCUCAUUUUCUCUAAAUAAUCAUCUUUAUUUUUCAGAAGUUUGCAAGAAAAAUUUUAAAGCUCUUAGAGUCUCUGCUCUUUGAAAAGUUCUCAACUAUUUUGAAGCAUUUAAUUCAAGAUUCAUGGAAUUAAGGUUGAAGAACCCUAACCACAUUUUCUGUUUUACUUUGCUGAAUAUUUGAGAUCUUUUGAGGUUUUUGUGUGAGAUUCACUGUUUAGAAGCCACUUGCCGAACAUUUAUAACCAUUUGAAAGAACUUACAUGAGGAAGAACACAUUGUUCGACUAGGUUAUUGAAGCUGAGGAAGACGAAAACUGAACUUGGAUUCCAGUCUCUUGGAAGCAUAGUGGCAUUUCUGCCCACGGUGUCCAUAGCAACAAUUGGCCUCUAUAUUGCUUAUGCCCUAACAAGCUUCUUUACGGUGACCUUGGCACGAAAACAUUUUGUUCAAGGGCCUAACUCAAAGGAAAGCAUGCACAAGCUUCAGUCAGUCAGAUGUAGAAGGAGAAGUGAUGUAACUGGAUUCACAGUUGAUGGUGAAAUAUACUUGGCUUCAAGGAAGAAGAUGAAGAAAGCAAUUCGAAAGGCCUUGGAGAUGUCUAAUUAGUUGUAUUUUUCUAUAAAAGAAUGUGUACAUAGGCCUAACUUUUCUGUUCAUUUGGGACCGUGAAGAUAUGAAGACAGAGGAAUUAGAGAAGCUAGCAAAACUGGCAGAUUGGUGUAAGGAGCUAAAACUAUAGGAGGAUAAAAAGGCUGAAGCACCAUCACCAUGAAAAAAGCUUUAGAAUUAGAAUUCUUUGCCUCUCUGGGACGUAAAAUUCCCCUGCUCUAUACCUGAAUAAUCUUUUGCGGCAGAUUUGUGAUUUGGGUGG